GCCCCACAUCGUGCUCUUGCAGUGUUCUCCCCGCAGGUGCUGCAUGGAGUGAGUGGCGGCAUCCACCGUGAGGAGGAGAGGAGCUCUGAUACCCUCAGGACCCGCCAGGAGGGGCAUCACGGAGGCUUCUGGACGACUUGGAGCUGUGUCCUGGGGAGAAAACCGCUCCUGUCUGGGCCCUGAGUGCUGAGGAGGAAGCUGCCAUGCACUUUUCCCUGGCAUUUUUCCUGCAUGGAGAGAGAGGUCCAAGGUGCCCUACAUCGUGCGUCAGUGCGUGGAGGAGAUCGAGCGCCGAGGCAUGGAGGAGGUGGGCAUCUACCGCAUGUCUGGGGUGGCCGCAGACAUCCAGGCACUGAAGGCAGGCUUCAACGUCAAUAACAAGGACGUGUCAGUGAUGAUGAGCGAGAUGGACGUGAACGCCAUCGCAGGCAUGCUGAAGCUGUACUUCCGUGAGCUGCCCGAGCCCCUCUUCACUGACGAGUUCUACCCCAACUUCGCAGAGGGCAUCGCUCUUUCAGACCCAGUUGCAAAGAAGAGCUGCAUGCUCAACCUGCUGUCGUCCCUGCCGGAGGCCAACCUGCUCACCUUCCUUUUCCUUCUAGACCACCUGGAAAGGAUGGCAGAGAAGGAGGCAGUCAAUAAGAUGUCCCUGCACAACCUUGGCACGGUGUUUGGCCCCACGCUGCUCCGGCCCUCCGAGAAGGAGAGCAAGCUCCCUGCCAACCCCAGCCAGCCCAUCACCAUGACUGACAGCUGGUCCUUGGAGGUCAUGUCCCAGAUCCAGAUACCUAAUAAGAUGCUGGAAUGUAAUCCCUGGACAAUCCGUGUCCUGGCAGCAUUUGGUCUUCCUCUAAGCGCCUGGCUCCGCUGUUCUCAGGAGUGGGUUCUGAAGUCUCUGGAGAACAGGAUACGUGGAGGGUUAGGAAGGGGCCAGGCCUAGAGACGGGAGACUCCCUCCCGGAGCAGGUGGAGGCACAGGACCAUUCGCUACCCCAUCUGCCGGCACCUGCGGGGGAGCCCAGGCAUUGUUUGUAAACCCUCCUGACUACCUGACUCAAAGAAAACAGAAGCAUGGAGGCCGCCAAGUAUUUUCAAGAAAUAAUCCCAUGAACGUGGCAUCACUUUUUUAGAAAGAGGGGCUUGGGGCAGGCAGAGGAGAGAAGGGAGAGCAAACUGAGAGCCAAGUUUCCAGACGGUCCUGCAGGAGGAGAGGAUGCAGCUGCGCAGAGGGAAGCAGGAUCACAUUUAAGGAAGUGUGUGGGGUCCCUGGAUGACACCAGCACCCAGUACGGCUCUGUCUGGCAACCGCUCCCAAGGUGGCAGGAGUGGGUGUCCCCUGUGUGUCAGUGGGCAGCUCCUGCUGAGCCCGCAGCUCACUGGGGAGCCUGACAGCGGGGCCAUGUGCCUGACACUCCUCUCUGCUUGUGGACCUGGCAAGGCAGGGAGCAGAAAACAGAGCCACUUGAAGGCUUUCUGUCUGCGUCUGUGUGCAGUGUGGAUUUAGUUGUGCUUUUUUCUUGCUGGGAGAGCACAGCCACCAUUUACAAGCAGUGUCACCCUCGUGGGUGGCGAGGACAGAACAGGAGCCUCUGCUCUCUGUACCUAUCUGGGCCCGGUGGGCUCCCUUGUCCUGGCUUCCAUCUCUGUCUCAGCAACCAUUCAGCCCUGCGCAGGAACACGUGUUGCUUAGAAAAGCCAAAUCCAGCCUUGUCUCUGCCUCCUCUGGUCUCAUGAUGUGCAUCUGUUACCUUGAAACUGGAAACCAGUCUAUCAAUGUCUGUGCCAAUUUUUUAUUCCCUCCCCAACCUCCUUCCCCAUACGACUUUUUAUUUAUGUAGGAUGUGUGCUGUCUAAUGAUGGGAUGACCACACUUUUCCAUGUUCUAAAAGUGCUCCUCUCCCGCAGGGUCCCAGGGCUGGUGGUUGCUUUGGGUCUACAGCUACGUCUUACCCGCCUCCUGCCUCAACAGCCUGUGUGGUGGCAAAGCCGGUGUGGGGCUGGGGAACGCAGCGUUCUCCAGGAGGGGGACCCGGCUCUCCUUCUGCAAUGCAGGCGAAGGCCUAGAUGCCAGUGUGACCUCCCACAAGGCGUGGCUUCCAGACUCCCCGGCCGGAAGUGAUGCUUUUUUGCCGUGGGCCCUGGGUUUGAAGCAGCCUGGCUUUCUCUUGGUAAGUGGCUGGUGUCUUAGCAGCUGCAAUCUGAGCUCAGCCACCUACACACCACCGUGGCCGACACUUUCAUUAAGAAGUUUCCUGAGACGA
Homo sapiens (human) is the source of this 2261-nucleotide long non-coding RNA. The record is from Ensembl. NCBI's taxonomy places the organism in Eukaryota, Metazoa, Chordata, Mammalia, Primates, Hominidae.